AAACUCUUUCGACGAGUCGAGUUGUUUGGGAAUGCAGCUCAAAAUGGGUGGUAUAUUUCAUCUAAAGCUAAAUAUUGGCCAGAGACCGAUAGCGCACAAGUAGAGUGAUCGAAAGAUGAAAAGCACUUUGGAAAGAGAGUUAAACAGUACGUGAAAUUGUUGAAAGGGAAGCGCUUGCAAUCAGACUUGCGCCUGGUUAAUCAUCUAGGUUUUUAUCUGGUGCACUUGAUCAGGCUCAGGCCAGCAUCGGUUUGAGUGGUUGGAUAAAGGCUUAGGGAAUGUAGCUCUCUUCGGGGAGUGUUAUAGCCCUAGGUGCAAUGCAGCCUACUUGGACCGAGGACCGCGCUUCGGCUAGGAUGCUGG
RNAcentral lists this ribosomal RNA (363 nucleotides) under Scleromitrula calthicola. RNAcentral describes it as "eukaryotic LSU rRNA". It matches the Rfam family "Eukaryotic large subunit ribosomal RNA", at positions 249 to 629 of the family's 3401-position model. The record is from RNAcentral. Lineage: Eukaryota; Fungi; Ascomycota; Leotiomycetes; Helotiales; Sclerotiniaceae.